UACAGAGGGUGCGAGCGUUGUUCGGAAUUAUUGGGCGUAAAGAGCGUGUAGGCGGCCAGGUAGGUCAGCUGUGAAAACUCGAGGCUCAACCUCGAGACGCCGGUUGAAACCAUUUGGCUAGAGUCCGGAAGAGGAGAGUGGAAUUCCUGGUGUAGCGGUGAAAUGCGCAGAUAUCAGGAAGAACACCAGUGGCGAAAGCGCUCUACUGGGCCAUAACUGACACCGAGGGACGAAAGCUAGGGGAGCGAAAGGG
This 253-nucleotide ribosomal RNA is filed under the name uncultured bacterium. RNAcentral describes it as "partial 16S ribosomal RNA". It matches the Rfam family "Bacterial small subunit ribosomal RNA", at positions 524 to 776 of the family's 1533-position model. The record is from RNAcentral.